UCAGAAGGAUGCAUGUAAAGAGGACUACUAACAUCAACAGUUGGUUGAUUAAUAUUUUUAGUCACAGUGGGUGCAAGUCGCUCAGUGUUCUCGUUGUUAGCCAUUUCUUACAGUGCAAAAUUCAAAAUGAGAUUCAAUCAACUCAGAAUUUUGGAAACAGAAAUGAGGAUUCAGAGAAGUUCGAGAGGAAAGCUUUUGUAGUCGAUGAAAAAUAGGGUCUUGUGUGCACUCGAUUAAGAAAGCGAAAAACAAAAUGAAAUACUACGAGCUUGGAUUCAACAGAUCUGAGAAAUGGAUCGAAAAUUCUGACCUUUGCUUUAAUACCAUAUCAAAAUUGUAGCAAUGGAACAGUAAUCUCCACACUAGCUCAGCUUGGAGUGUAUCUACAGUGAUGGAGGAUCUUCAGAUCUGUGAUCUCGAGUUAGCACAGC
This 431-nucleotide long non-coding RNA is filed under the name Nicotiana benthamiana. RNAcentral's name for it is "long non-coding RNA (NBEN_LNC040830)". The record is from RNAcentral. Lineage: Eukaryota; Viridiplantae; Streptophyta; Magnoliopsida; Solanales; Solanaceae.